UCCUUCCUAGAUUUUGAAAUU
This 21-nucleotide non-coding RNA is filed under the name Caenorhabditis elegans. The record is from RNAcentral. Lineage: Eukaryota; Metazoa; Nematoda; Chromadorea; Rhabditida; Rhabditidae.